GCGGGAGUGGCGGAAUUGGCAGACGCGCGACGUUUAGGCCGUCGUGUCUUCGGACGUAGGGGUUCAAGUCCCCUCUCCCGCA
This is a non-coding RNA of Jiangella alkaliphila, 82 nucleotides long. The record is from Rfam. NCBI's taxonomy places the organism in Bacteria, Bacillati, Actinomycetota, Actinomycetes, Jiangellales, Jiangellaceae.